Molecule: ribosomal RNA, 611 nt
Filed under: uncultured bacterium
Lineage: Bacteria
Description: bacterial SSU rRNA
Rfam family: Bacterial small subunit ribosomal RNA
Source: RNAcentral
GAACGUGAAGCAGGAGCUUGCUCCUGUGGAAGGUGGCAGACGGGUGAGUAACGCGUGGGAAUUUACCCAGUGGUUCGGAAUAACGCAUGGAAACGUGUGCUAAUACCGAAUACGCCCUCCGGGGGAAAGAUUUAUCGCCAUUGGAUGAGCCUGCGUCGGAUUAGCUUGUUGGUGAGGUAAAAGCUCACCAAGGCGACGAUCCGUAGCUGGUCUGAGAGGAUGAUCAGCCACACUGGGACUGAGACACGGCCCAGACUCCUACGGGAGGCAGCAGUGGGGAAUAUUGCGCAAUGGAGGAAACUCUGACGCAGCCAUGCCGCGUGAGUGAAGAAGGCCUUAGGGUUGUAAAACUCUUUCACCGGUGAAGAUAAUGACGGUAGCCGGAGAAGAAGCCCCGGCCAACUCCGUGCCAGCAGCCGCGGUAAUACGGAGGGGGCUAGCGUUGUUCGGAUUUACUGGGCGUAAAGCGCGCGUAGGCGGGCUGGUUAGUUGGGGGUGAAAUCCCGAGGCUCAACCUCGGAACUGCCCUCAAUACUGCCAGUCUUGAGUUCGAGAGAGGUGAGUGGAAUUCCUAGUGUAGAGGUGAAAUUCGUAGAUAUUAGGAAGAACAC